CUUAAUUUAUUAGAUAACAACAGGCUAGUAGCUCUCAUUAAGUUAUAACUAUUUCUUUACUAGAAUCUAGUUUAGAUACCCUAAAAUCUUGGCUCCUUCUUGUUUGCAGCAAGAGCGUGUCGUUCAAGAAAAGAGAGAAGUAUCAUAAUACUUCAAAAUACAGAAGAAGUAUCAAGAAGAAAUCGUAAAGAAUUAUGAAAGCAGUAUUAUGAUUAAUCCUUGAACAACUGUUUUUUAUUAAGAGAAUAAAAGUUUAAUCCCUUCAAAUGAUUAUACUUAUUUUUGUGCAGAAUUAUGUGUAUUUUUUCAUAAAUUUAAGCUCAGGUUUGUUUUUGCACAGAAUUAUGUAUACUUCUUCAUAAGUAGGUUUGACUUCAGUCUGCUUUGCAUUGAAAGGAAAAGUGUUUUGGGAUAAGCGUGGGAGAACUUGAAUGUUCCAGAACAAUGAAGUAU
Molecule: long non-coding RNA, 453 nt
Filed under: Phoenix dactylifera (date palm)
Lineage: Eukaryota; Viridiplantae; Streptophyta; Magnoliopsida; Arecales; Arecaceae
Description: long non-coding RNA (PDAC_LNC009051)
Source: RNAcentral